AUGCAACGCACACUGACAUUUGCCUGGGAGCUCCAUGUCUUUGGCUCUGCCACUCUUUUUACAGUAAUGGUAGUCCUGGCAGUAACAGGAUUAGUUACUGCAUGCAGUCUUUCGCUUCCACAUUCUCUGGGUAAUGUCCUGAUUAUUGCAAAUUUUUUUCUUAUUGUGGUCGGCUCUUUGCGUACUGUUCUUCUUCUACUUGAUCCUUACGGUACUCGUCAGAUCUUACCUCACUCCAUCCUGGCAGUCCUGCAUAAUGUUCCUCUGUCACUACUUCUAUGGACACAAGCCAUCCUUGCGAUAGUCACACUCAGAGGAUUAAAAUGGUUGAUUUUCCCAAUAAAGCUGCAGUGUGCGUGGAUGAUUGGAGGGUUAGCUCUAUUCCAUUGCACUGCAUUACUAAUUGCAGACCUGUAUUCUUUCGCUUUCCCCCCGACUUUCCCUCUGCUACUACAAAGCCUCUCAGUCUGUUGUGGUUUUUCACUCUGCUUAGGAAUCCUCACAAAAUCCCUCACUCAUCUACACCCUUCUGUCACAUCACUGAUUCAAUCUUGGAUCCCUUCACAUAGGAGUGAAAGACGUGCGAGGCGACUAACGGCAGUUUGCGCCUUUCUCGGUACGCUGUGCUGUAGCCUUCAUUUGUAUAGCCUCUUUUGGCUUUAUGGACUGUUGGGGAACUGGAGGCGCUUUAGCUGGGGUUGGUGGCUCAGUCAGUUUUGGGCCAGAAUCCUGGAGUCAGCUUGGGGUUUCUCUCAGCUUGCAUUGUGUUCUUGGAUCUUUUGGGCUCCGUGUGAAAGUCAUUCACAGGCCGACCAUUGGCUUGGUAGAGGUGGGGUGUCAAAAGGGACUAAGAAACAAAGCUUGUGGUGCAGAGUCUUGGAAAAGAAGUGGAGAGGCCCACUAAGGAAAGCAGACAAGAACUGGGAGGACCUGAUGCCAAAUAACUGGGCAAAGUACAACCUUUCUAAGGCAUCAAUCAACAGCACUGUAUUGCACCCAUACGAUGCUCAACAAUGUACAGUUUUACAGCAAUACAAGCCUGAUUCUGUUAACAUUAGCAUUCAUGACCCUCAGGCUUUAUCAUUGUGGCAAAAAGUCAGUGAUCCUGAAUGCAUUCUUUCAGUCAUUGAGUUUGACAUGCCCCCACCAUCUCCGAUUAACCUCCGGCGCAGCAUUGACAAUGCCCUUUACCACGGACAGCUUAUAAAUGGUCUGUUCACACCUACACUUCUCUCAUUUGCACAGAACACUGACAUUACUGAGCCACAUCACGCUCAAUCAAAUUUGCCUCCUAAUUAUGCCGGCUACAGGUGGAUGCUGGACACAGAGUCUACCAUGCCAUCUCCUGACCAUUUUCUGGUAAAUGAGCCCAUUCUCUUCCCCAGUGCUACGGCUGAUUGCAAUGGCAGCACGGUGUCUACAGCGAAUGUACGUCAUGGAGAUGUUCUUCAAGCAGCAAUGCAACAUGACUGA
This 1473-nucleotide long non-coding RNA is filed under the name Gouania willdenowi (blunt-snouted clingfish). RNAcentral describes it as "lncRNA (ENSGWIG00000025978.1)". Lineage: Eukaryota; Metazoa; Chordata; Actinopteri; Blenniiformes; Gobiesocidae. The record is from RNAcentral.